RNAcentral lists this ribosomal RNA (790 nucleotides) under uncultured Rahnella sp. Its description in RNAcentral is "partial 16S ribosomal RNA". It matches the Rfam family "Bacterial small subunit ribosomal RNA", at positions 388 to 1170 of the family's 1533-position model. Lineage: Bacteria; Pseudomonadati; Pseudomonadota; Gammaproteobacteria; Enterobacterales; Yersiniaceae. The record is from RNAcentral.
GCAGCCAUGCCGCGUGUGUGAAGAAGGCCUUAGGGUUGUAAAGCACUUUCAGCGAGGAGGAAGGGUUCGGGGUUAAUAGCCCUGAGCAUUGACGUUACUCGCAGAAGAAGCACCGGCUAACUCCGUGCCAGCAGCCGCGGUAAUACGGAGGGUGCAAGCGUUAAUCGGAAUUACUGGGCGUAAAGCGCACGCAGGCGGUUUGUUAAGUCAGAUGUGAAAUCCCCGAGCUUAACUUGGGAACUGCAUUUGAAACUGGCAAGCUAGARUYUUGUAGAGGGGGGUAGAAUUYCAGGUGUAGCGGUGAAAWGSGUAGAGAUYUGGAGGAAUWCCGGUGGCGAAGGCGGCCCCCUGGACAAAGRMUGACGSUCAGGUKCGAAAGCGUGGGGAGCAAACAGGAUUAGAUWCCCUGGUAGUYCMCGCYGUAAAMGAUGUYGACUUGGAGGUUGUKCCCYUGAGGMGUGGCUUCCGGAGCUAAAGCGUUAAGUUGGCCGCCUGGGGAGUUCGGCCGCAAGGUUAAAAAUCAAAUGAAUUGACGGGGGCCCGCACAAGCGGUGGAGCAUGUGGUUUAAUUUGAUGCAACGCGAAGAACCUUACCUACUUUUGACAUCCAGAGAAUUUGCUAGAGAUAGCUUAGUGCCUUUGGGAACUUUGAGACCGGUGCUGCAUGGCUGUUGUCAGCUUGUGUUGUGAAAUGUUGGGUUAAGUCCCGCAACGAGCGCAACCCUUAUCCUUUGUUGCCAGCGAGUAAUGUCGGGAACUCAAAGGAGACUGCCGGUGAUAAACCGGAGGA